Long non-coding RNA from Vombatus ursinus (common wombat), 1176 nucleotides. RefSeq lists it as uncharacterized. NCBI's taxonomy places the organism in Eukaryota, Metazoa, Chordata, Mammalia, Diprotodontia, Vombatidae. The transcript is spliced from 3 exons. The record is from RefSeq and is a predicted model, not a curated record.
UGCCUCCUGCAUAUCCUUUCUGCCUCCCUACCUCUGGCUCUGGAACCAUGAACUAGAAUCACAUCAACUCUGCCAUUGUCCCUGGAUGAGAUGGGAGGAAAUAAUAAAUUCACUAUACCCAAGAGAGUUCAGCUCGAGAAGGGAUGGGAUGCUCUCCAAAAUGAGGUUUUGAAGGCACAAAUCAAAACAAUUCCAAUAAGAAAGAAGAGUAGGAGGAGUUGUCUAAAGACAUUGCUAUGGAUGCACAUGGAAUUCCUCAACCAAAUUAUGUUUUUGAAAAGUCAUGUGUAGAAGAUGGAAACCAGGGAAGGAUACCCAAGAAGUGGCCAGCCAGGCUUUGCUGAGUGAAGAGGAGUUGACCGCCUCCCAAGACAACAUAUCUGCUUUUGGACAGCUCGAAUCAGUGGCAAAAACUUCCCUUCAACAGCAAAAUGAAAACUCCUUUUUUUCCAACUUCCACCCAUUACUCCUAGAUCUCUCCUUUAAAGCCAAGCAGAAUAAAUAUAAUUCUUUUUCCCCUGGCAGUUUUCAAGCACUUGGAAAAUAGUCAUCCUGUUUGCCUGAAGUCUUUUCUUCUCCUGGCAAAGAGGCCAUUCUCUGCCUCAUUUCUUACCUAGCCUUAAUCACUGAUUGGGCGUUGCCUCAGUGAAACUGAGACCUGUUAAGGUCCUUGGCUUAAAAAGGUUAAGGUCUCCCACUGCAUCCAGGGCCAUCUCCAGUCAUCCUGAUCUAUAUCUUGCCCCUGGAGCCAGAGGGCUCUGGAAGACAAUGUGAGGCUGGUGACUUAGCACAGCCAACCCACACUAAAAUCCAAUUCACUUGCAUGUCAAGGCAUCACCUCCCUGAUGUCAAGGUCUUCUUCGAGAACGAAGAGCAAACAACAACAACAACAGCAAGAGCAACAACAACGAUCUCUUCUCUGAGCUAAACUUGUCCACUUCCUUUAACUGAUCUUCAUAUAACAUAAUCCAAAGGCCUUUUACCAUCAUAGUUGCCUGCCUUUGGAUGCCCUCCAGCAUAUCCAUAUUCUUCCUAAAAUGUCGGGUACCCGAUACUGAGCACAACAGUGCAGAUACGUUGUGGUCACUUUGUCGAAGCCCAGUUUCCUUAUUCACCUGUAAAAUGGGGAUAAUGAUAUUUUCACUGACUACCUCCCAGGAUUAAGGCAGCUAGGAG